This 5580-nucleotide long non-coding RNA is filed under the name Lathyrus oleraceus (garden pea). Its description in RNAcentral is "Pisum sativum (pea) long non-coding RNA (PSAT_LNC029814)". Lineage: Eukaryota; Viridiplantae; Streptophyta; Magnoliopsida; Fabales; Fabaceae. The record is from RNAcentral.
UACUACCAGUGUAAUGAUUUUCUCCAAGGCCGAGUGAAUUAAGUCCGGUUAGAUUCCCUAUCCAACUAGGGAUUCUACCGGUGAAAAAGUUCGCCGAAAGAUCAAGAACACGGAGGCUUCUUAGUCCAGAAAAAUCCGGAAUCGAACCAACGAGUUCGUUUCCGGAUAGAUUCAAGACUCUGAGGUGUGUGAAUUUGGUUACUUCUGGAGGAAGUUUUCCGGAAAUGGAGUUGGAUGGUAGUGAAAGGACUUGCAGGCUAUGAAGUAUUGAGAUUGAUGGAAAAAUUUCGCCCGAGAGCGAGUUAUCGUCUAAUGAGAUUUCUAUGACUUUGAAAGAUGGUUGAGCACAUGUGAUUCCAUGGAAGUUGCAUGGAGUGCUUGAUUCAUUCCAUGAAGCUAAAGUGUUCGACGAAUCGGUUAAAUGAUCUUUGAAUUGAAGAAGUGCUUGUGUUUCAGUUGUUUGAGAUUCACAUGGAGGGAAAAUGAGUAACAAAGUUGCCAUGAAGAUGAAAAGGUGAAAGAAAUGGGAUGUGUUGGCCAUUGAAACAAAUUUGGAAGGACUAAGUUGUUGAUAAGGUUUGAAAACUAUGGUCGCAUCAUGAUCUUUGAUAUUGCGGAGAGAAUUAUGGUCGAAUGCGGCUAGUUCAUAUGAAGUUCAAGGAUAAAGUUGUUAACAAGAUUCAAAAAGUUGAAGUGUGAAGUGUUUUUUGAAAUUGUAGAGAAUCGUGGUCAAAAAUGCGACGGAUGAUGCAGACAAAAUUGUCAAUAGGGUUUUAACACGCCGUGUCACAAUGUUUGAUAUUGUAGCUAAUGUAGCUUCAAUGGUUGAAUGUUGAGGUAAAAAAAACUUUGAUGUCGUAACCGUGGUGUGAAUGUGGAUGAUAUUUGAUUUGAAGUUUGAUGAUCAAUGAAGCAUUAUUGAAGGAGUGUCACAAUCCUAAAAACAUUAAAAUACAAAAAUCAGACAUAGUGACAUUAGUAAAUAGUGCAAUGCAAAGAAAAAACAAAUAGUGAUUAGGUGAGACAAAAAAAAUUUAAGUUGAAGUUGAAAUGUCAAUUUUAUUAGCAUGGGUAAAGAAUGAUUGAACUUUCAUUAUUAUGAUUCUAAUCAAAGAAUUGAAGAAAGAGAUAACAAUAAUAAUGCUUUGAAGUCACUCAUUUCACACAUCUUUUGCAAAGCACUAUAGUUUCUAAUCUAAUUUGCUCUAAAUGCAAGGCACAUAUAAUAAUUGUAUACACAUUUUCUUUAUAAUCAUGAGUUACUUAUAACUUUUUUUGGAUGCUUCUUUUUAAUAAUGAUAUGAUAAUGAUAGUUAGAAAUUGGUAAAGAUUCAAAUUUAGAAUGAUGAACACUCUUUGGCUCUUUUUCAAUAUAACUUUACUCUUUGAUUUUGUUUUCGAAGAGAAAUUAAAAAAGUUAUAUGUAGAAAAAGAAUGAGAAGAAUGAAGAUAUGAGAUAGUAAUAAAAUUUGAUUUUCUAACCUGAUUUUUCGGUGUGAGGAAGUGUCUUUUUCUUCUUUGUUUUCUGCCAAGUGAGAAUUUUAUGAAGGAAAUGAUUUGUGAGUGAAAGUGAGAAUAGAAAAUGGUGUUUUUAUAAGAGAAAAUUUAUGAUUGAAAUGUAGUGGGAAAUUAGAAAUGUGUGCUUAUUAGUCGGUAACCGAAAGAGGUGAAAAGAAAAUAGAAUUAUUUGAUUGGUGCAUUAAUGUAUGAAGUGGCCAUGGCCAUAAAAUAAAAUAGUGGUAUAGAUACAUUAUGUUGUUUUGGAUGUUUUAUUUGGAAGAUUCCAAAAGGACAUUAAGAAGAUGAGUCACCAAAGUUGAAACUUAGAAAGACAAAUCUGAUAUUAUCUCCAUCCAUAAUUAUAUUUUUUUUAUUUAACUUAUUUAUUAAGAAAAAUAUAUAGAAUAAAUUUUGUGAGUAAUUCUUUUUUGAAAUUUUAUUUGUAUAUUAAUUUGUAUAAUUUGGUCCGAAAAAUCUAACUGUUGGAAGUUUGCCAGAAUUCGAAUUAUAGUUCUCAUGGUUUUGUGUGUGAAUUUUUAAUUAUAUUAUCACUUUAUCUAAAAAGAAAGUGUAUAAUUUUUAUUUUUAUUUUUAUUUUUAAAAUAAACUAAUAAUAUUAUUGAUAGACAUGUUUUAAAAAAUCCACAUAAUAUCACAUGUGUUUAUAUUUUAUGACAGCUUUCUUUGGAAAAACUCGUAAGAUUUUUUCUAGUCAAAUUAUAAAAAUAUAUAAUUACACUAAAAUUUAAUUAAAUGUAAUAAUAAUAAUAAUAAUAAUAAUUUAUUAAAAAUUAUUUAUUUUAUUUUUUAUUAUAAACUUUUUCUUGAUCAUUCUCACAAACAUCCUUAGAUAACUAUCACUAUAUCUUUUAUUUAUACUCUAUAACAUACAAUAAUGAAUUUCUGUAUUUUUAGACAUUCAUUUUGAUGUUAAAAUUCUUUGAAUAAAAAUGAAAAAUGAAAAAUGAUGAGCGCACAAUAUUUAAUUUUUUUUAAUUGUAUACUGUUAAAAUGCAAAUGAACUCAUUUUGCAGAAGUUUAAGUGAGUUUUUGAACUUAAACAAAUCGAUUUUAAAAAGUGCAAAUGAAUUGAGUUACUAGAAGUAACUAAACUGAAUUUAUAUUAAUCUUUAUGUAGAGUUAUACACAAUUAGAAUCUAGAACUUAACUUUAAUUUAAUAUUUUAAUAAUUUUGUGAUUUAAUCCAAUUUUUAAGAGUGUAAAAAAAUUAUAAAUGAGAACAUAAAGAUAAUUAAUGGGGGUUACAAUUGCCCCACUUAGCAAAAGAGAGAAUGAGAUGAGAGACAUGUGGGGAACGUGACAAAAUAUUUUUUUAAGUCUAUUUAUUAAAUAUAAAGCAAAAAAUAAUAAUUAUGUUGGUUAGUCUUAAUAAAUAAAUAAAACAAAUGUCGACAAGUCCAAAAAAAAAUAUCGACUACUUCAGCUAUAAUUAAUGUUAUCAUUUUUAAAUAUUAAUAGAAAAAUUCAUGUGAAUGAUAAUAUGAAAAAUAUGAUUUUUUAUUAUUAGUGUGAGAAAAUUAAAUCAAUUUAAUCACUUUUAAACAUUGCAAAUUAUUAUUGAUCUCUUUAUUUUAUAAUAAUAUACAUUUAAAAACAAUCAUAAAUUUUUUUUGAAGUUUUUAAUUUAUCAUUAAUUUCUCCCCAAUUAUAUACUAUAAAUAUCAUUAUUUUUAUUAUACAUUUUAUAACAAUAAAAAUAUCAUUACUUUUACUAUACAUUUUAGAAUCACAUUAAUUCUAUUGAACAAUUUCAAGAAUUAAAUGAAAUAAUUUUCCACUUCUAUAAACUUGUUAUACAUUUUCUCUUAGUGAAUGGAGCACGAAAAAAAGAAUUAUUGUCAGAUUCAUAUAGGCACUAAUUUUCUUAUCAAUUACUUGUCCUUUAUGCUAUCUUCCUUUUUCAUUUCACUGCAUGAAUAAUCACUUUUUUUAAGGAAUAAUUCCUAUAUUACUCGAUCAGUAGUAGUUCUUCCUAUACUAGAACACUUCCAAAAAUGUAACCAGUGAAAGCUUCAUGUGAACUUUUUUUCAUUUGGUUUUGAUAAGUCCACGUGAACUUUAAGAAUCAUUUUUAUAUAAAAUAUUCAAAGAUAACGAUAUUUGCCUAAAUUUUGCUCAUAUAUAAAUUCAAUAACUUAAUAAUAAUAAUAAUAAUAAUAAUAAUAAUAAUAAUAAUAAUAAUAAUAAUAAUAAUAAAAAACAUAUUUGGCCCAAAAAUAAUAAUAGGCCGAUCAAAUUUAAUCUUCAUUCAGAUGACCUAUUUCAUAAGCAUCAAUAUUCACUUUGUGAAAAGAUGCUUGUUUCCAUUUCUUUUGACUUGCUUCCUUCUGAAGAUGUUGUAUCUUUUUCGCUCUUCGAAUCUUGAUGCUCGACAGAUCAAAAACCAAAGCAGCGAUGAGAUAACAGCAAUUACCAAGAGCAAAUAUAUAUUUAUAACCAAAGAAACCUCUUCUAUGACCAUGAUCAUUCCACAAAUCUUCAAAUCCGAAUUUUAUCGAACUUCUUGGAAUUUUCUCACACCAUAAACCUUUGUUUCGAACAAAAGCCUUCUCUCCCCGGAUGACAAGUAUCCCGAACGGAAUUCCACCAGAAAGCAGAUUAUCAGAAAAAUCAACGAACUUAGUUUUAUUUUUCUCCAAAUUAUCAGGAAUCGAACCUGUUAACUUGUUUCUAGACAAAUUCAACGAAUUCAACGAACUCAUAAGCGAAACCGAGUUCGGAAUAUUUCCAGAUAGAGAAUUCAAUGCAAGAUUCAAAUCCACAAGCCUUGAACAAUGGCCUAACUCUUUAGGUAUUAAACCAGUUAAGGAAUUUUUCCUCCAAAUGCAAAGUGGAUUAACUGUUUUAAAAAUCCAAUCUCAUGUGGAAUUUCACCAGAGAAAUUGUUGUUGCUCAAGUAAAGUUUCUCCAAAUUCGCCAAUUUCCGAUUUCUGAAGGAACCUUACCAGAAAAUGUUGUUCGUCAAAAACAACUCAGUUAAUUUGUUGAGUUACCAAUCUGUGAAGAAACUUCACCACUGAAAUUGUUAAACCCGAGAUCAAUUAUCUUCGCAUUCGGAAGUGACCAAACACCAUUAGGAAUUUUUCCAGAUAAAAAAUUUCCACUGAUCCUCAAUCUCUCUAGUGACUUGCAUGAAGCAUAAGAUUCGAAAUAUUUCCAGUGAAAUUGUUUUGCAAUGCAAGCAGAAUUGUCAACUUUUGCUUCUCACACAAGUACUUUGGGAAGAAACCUGAAAACUGAUUCUCAGAACACGUCGAUGCCUCUCAAGAGGAGAAAAUCGGCCCGAAAUUCUCCGGAAUCGAACCGGUGAAACGGUUUCUGUAAACCGAAAAGCCUCUGAGAUUCUCCAUAUCACCAAAUCCAACAGGAAUCUCACCAGAAAAGUUGUUAUCAUAGAGCUGAAACAGCCAAAUUCACCAUAUCACCAAUUCUCUUAGGCAAUUUACCAAACAUGUUGUUUGCAGAAAUAUCAAUCUCUUGCAAAUUGGUUAAAUUCGCGAGCUCUUCCGGUAUUCCGCCUGUCAAAUUGUUCGAAAAACAAUUCGAUCUUGUAAACAUUCUUCAGCUUCGAAAUCGAACUAGAUAUUUUUCCAGAUAGCUUGUUUCUUGACAAAUCCAAAGUCUCCAAUGCUUCCAUUUCAUACAAUGAUUCUGGAAUCUCUCCAACCAACUGAGCACCGCCAAGGUAAAGCCAUGUCAAAUUUUUCAAAUUUCCAAGACUCUCUGGAAUCAUACUACCAGUGUAAUGAUUUUCUCCAAGGCCGAGUGAAUUAAGUCCGGUUAGAUUCCCUAUCCAACUAGGGAUUCUACCGGUGAAAAAGUUCGCCGAAAGAUCAAGAACACGGAGGCUUCUUAGUCCAGAAAAAUCCGGAAUCGAACCAACGAGUUCGUUUCCGGAUAGAUUCAAGGACUCUGAGGUGUGUGAAUUUGGUUACUUCUGGAGGAAGUUUUCCGGAAAUGGAGUUGGAUGGUAGUGAAAGGACUUGCAGGCUAUGAAGUAUUGGAGAUUGAUGGAAAAAUUUCGCCCGAGAGCGAGUUAUCGUCUAAUGAGAUUUCUAU